GACGAACGCUGGCGGCGUGCUUAACACAUGCAAGUCGAACGGAAAGGCCCUGCUUUUGUGGGGUGCUCGAGUGGCGAACGGGGGAGUAACACGUGAGUAACCUGCCCUUGACUUUGGGAUAACUUCAGGAAACUGGGGCUAAUACCGGAUAGGAGCUCCUGCUGCAGGGUGGGGGUUGGAAAGUUUCGGCGGGUGGGGAUGGACUCGCGGCUUAUCAGCUUGUUGGUGGGGGAGUGGCUUACCAAGGCUUUGACGGGUAGGCGGCCUGAGAGGGUGACCGGCCACAUUGGGACUGAGAGACGGACCAGACUGCUACGGGAGGCAGCAGUGGGGAAUAUUGCACAAUGGGCGGAAGCCUGAUGCAGCAACGCCGCGUGCGGGAUGACGGCCUUCGGGUUGUAAACCGCUUUCGCCUGUGACGAAGCGUGAGUGACGGUAAUGGGUAAAGAAGCACCGGCUAACUACGUG
Molecule: ribosomal RNA, 468 nt
Filed under: uncultured bacterium
Lineage: Bacteria
Description: partial 16S ribosomal RNA
Rfam family: Bacterial small subunit ribosomal RNA
Source: RNAcentral